Molecule: unclassified non-coding RNA, 242 nt
Filed under: Hevea brasiliensis (rubber tree)
Lineage: Eukaryota; Viridiplantae; Streptophyta; Magnoliopsida; Malpighiales; Euphorbiaceae
Source: RNAcentral
UGUGAGAGAAGAAAGAAUAGAAGAAGAGAGAAAGAGAGAAGAGAGAAGAAUAGAAUAGAAGAGAGGAGAGAGCGGAAAGAAGAAGAAGACAUGAGAGACAUACCAGGUCCUUUUUCCAACAGCUGUGGCGUGAAAUGAGAGCCUCUACUUAGGAUUUUUUGCUUUUUGCUGUUCAAACAACAAAUAAAAAAAAGUGAUUGUUACAUAAUUGUUGCAUAACAAAGGCAUCACCUCCAUCGCCC